Molecule: ribosomal RNA, 37 nt
Filed under: Mastocarpus jardinii
Lineage: Eukaryota; Rhodophyta; Florideophyceae; Gigartinales; Phyllophoraceae
Description: partial 5.8S ribosomal RNA
Source: RNAcentral
ACUCGUGACGGUGGAUGUCUUGGCUCCAGCAUCGAUG